GAUCAUGGCUCAGGACGAACGCUGGCGGCGCGCCUAACACAUGCAAGCCGAACGAGAGAGAGGGAGCUUGCUUCCUCAAUCGAGUGGCGAACGGGUGAGUAACGCGUGAGGAACCUGCCUCAAAGAGGGGGACAACAGUUGGAAACGACUGCUAAUACCGCAUAAGCCCACAGCUCGGCAUCGAGCAGAGGGAAAAGGAGCAAUCCGCUUUGAGAUGGCCUCGCGUCCGAUUAG
Molecule: ribosomal RNA, 234 nt
Filed under: uncultured bacterium
Lineage: Bacteria
Description: partial 16S ribosomal RNA
Rfam family: Bacterial small subunit ribosomal RNA
Source: RNAcentral